AUUGCACGCUGGCGGCAGGCCUAACACAUGCAAGUCGAACGAGUGGCGGACGUGUGAGCAAUGUCUGGGAAACUGCCCGCUCGAGGGGGAUAACUACUGGAAACGGUAGCCAAUACCGCAUACUAUCGUAUGUGCCCAGAUGGGACUAGCUAGUAGGUGGGGUAAAGGCUCACCUAGGCGACGAUCCCUAGCUGGUCUGAGAGGAUGACCAGCCACACUGGAAAUGAGAAAAGGUCCAGACUCCUACGGGAGGCAGCAGUGGUGAAUAUUGCACAAUGGGCGCAAGCCUGAUGCAGCCAUGCCGCGUGUAUGAAGAAGGCCUUAGGGUUGUAAAGUACUUUAAGCGGGGAGGCGUUACCCGCAGAAGAAGCACCGGCUAACUCCGUGCCAGCAGCCGCGGUAAUAC
RNAcentral lists this ribosomal RNA (406 nucleotides) under uncultured bacterium. Its description in RNAcentral is "partial 16S ribosomal RNA". It matches the Rfam family "Bacterial small subunit ribosomal RNA", at positions 30 to 526 of the family's 1533-position model. The record is from RNAcentral.